This 69-nucleotide transfer RNA is filed under the name Carapus bermudensis. RNAcentral's name for it is "tRNA-His". It matches the Rfam family "tRNA". From Rfam's summary of the family: Transfer RNA (tRNA) molecules are approximately 80 nucleotides in length. The record is from RNAcentral. Lineage: Eukaryota; Metazoa; Chordata; Actinopteri; Ophidiiformes; Carapidae.
GUAGACAUAGUUUAGUGAAAAUUCUAGAUUGUGAUUCUAGAGAGAAAAGUUAGAACCUUUUUGUCCACC